UUAAGUAAGGAAUGAGUUACACUAGCCCAAUAAAGACAUCACACUAUCUCACUGCCACAGGAGUAAAGGUCGGUAGAAAACAAAAAACAAUCAAUGGAACAUAAUUUAUAACAAACUCAUUUAUUAACAUAAAAAUCUUUACUAUCCACUUACCUCGGUGAGAUUUAUGAAAAUAACAUAUGAAAAAAAUAACAUUAUAACCAUCAUAAAAUCAUAUCGACGUUGUAAC
Molecule: long non-coding RNA, 229 nt
Filed under: Carica papaya (papaya)
Lineage: Eukaryota; Viridiplantae; Streptophyta; Magnoliopsida; Brassicales; Caricaceae
Description: long non-coding RNA (CPAP_LNC001308)
Source: RNAcentral